AUCUGGUUGGCUCAGUAGAGCAUGUGACUCUUGAUCUCAGGGUUGUGAGUUCAAGCCCCACACUGGGGA
RNAcentral lists this transfer RNA (69 nucleotides) under Felis catus (domestic cat). It matches the Rfam family "tRNA". From Rfam's summary of the family: Transfer RNA (tRNA) molecules are approximately 80 nucleotides in length. Their secondary structure includes four short double-helical elements and three loops (D, anti-codon, and T loops). The record is from Rfam by way of RNAcentral. Lineage: Eukaryota; Metazoa; Chordata; Mammalia; Carnivora; Felidae.